GACGAACGCUGGCGGCGUGCUUAACACAUGCCAGUCGUACGGUAAGGCCCUUUCGGGGGUACACGAGUGGCGCACGGGUGAGUAACACGUGAGUAACCUGCCCACAACUUUGGGAUAACGCUAGGAAACUGGUGCUAAUACUGGAUAUGUGCCCCUGCUGCAUGGUGGGGGUUGGAAAGCUCCGGCGGUUGUGGAUGGACUCGCGGCCUAUCAGCUUGUUGGUGGGGUAGUGGCCUACCAAGGCGGCGACGGGUAGCCGGCCUGAGAGGGUGACCGGCCACAUUGGGACUGAGAUACGGCCCAGACUCCUACGGGAGGCAGCAGUGGGGAAUAUUGCACAAUGGGCGCAAGCCUGAUGCAGCAACGCCGCGUGCGGGAUGACGGCCUUCGGGUUGUAAACCGCUUUCAGCAGGGACGAAGCUUUUUGUGACGGUACCUGCAGAAGAAGCACCGGCUAACUACGUG
This 465-nucleotide ribosomal RNA is filed under the name uncultured bacterium. Its description in RNAcentral is "partial 16S ribosomal RNA". It matches the Rfam family "Bacterial small subunit ribosomal RNA", at positions 28 to 507 of the family's 1533-position model. The record is from RNAcentral.